UACGUAGGGGGCAAGCGUUGUCCGGAAUCAUUGGGCGUAAAGAGCGUGUAGGCGGCCAGAUAAGUCCGCUGUGAAAUCUCGAGGCUCAACUUCGAGCUGUCGGUGGAAACUGUCUGGCUAGAGUCCGGAAGAGGAGAAUGGAAUUCCUGGUGUAGCGGUGAAAUGCGCAGAUAUCAGGAAGAACACCCGUGGCGAAGGCGGUUCUCUGGGACGGUACUGAGCUGAGGUGCGAAAGCGUGGGGAGCAAACAGG
RNAcentral lists this ribosomal RNA (252 nucleotides) under uncultured bacterium. RNAcentral's name for it is "partial 16S ribosomal RNA". It matches the Rfam family "Bacterial small subunit ribosomal RNA", at positions 524 to 776 of the family's 1533-position model. The record is from RNAcentral.